RNAcentral lists this transfer RNA (89 nucleotides) under Bacillota bacterium. Its description in RNAcentral is "tRNA-Leu". It matches the Rfam family "tRNA". Rfam says of the family: Transfer RNA (tRNA) molecules are approximately 80 nucleotides in length. Their secondary structure includes four short double-helical elements and three loops (D, anti-codon, and T loops). Further hydrogen bonds mediate the characteristic L-shaped molecular structure. tRNAs have two regions of fundamental functional importance: the anti-codon, which is responsible for specific mRNA codon recognition, and the 3' end, to which the tRNAs corresponding amino acid is attached (by aminoacyl-tRNA synthetases). tRNAs cope with the degeneracy of the genetic code in two manners: having more than one tRNA (with a specific anti-codon) for a particular amino acid; and 'wobble' base-pairing, i.e. permitting non-standard base-pairing at the 3rd anti-codon position. Lineage: Bacteria; Bacillati; Bacillota. The record is from RNAcentral.
GCCGAGGUGGCGGAAUUGGCAGACGCACAGGACUUAAAAUCCUGCGGAGGUUAAACUCCAUACCGGUUCGAUUCCGGUUCUCGGCACCA